Molecule: ribosomal RNA, 205 nt
Filed under: Listeria monocytogenes
Lineage: Bacteria; Bacillati; Bacillota; Bacilli; Caryophanales; Listeriaceae
Description: partial 16S ribosomal RNA
Rfam family: Bacterial small subunit ribosomal RNA
Source: RNAcentral
UUUAAAGAGAGUUUGAUCCUGGCUCAGGACGAACGCUGGCGGCGUGCCUAAUACAUGCAAGUCGAACGAACGGAGGAAGAGCUUGCUCUUCCAAAGUUAGUGGCGGACGGGUGAGUAACACGUGGGCAACCUGCCUGUAAGUUGGGGAUAACUCCGGGAAACCGGGGCUAAUACCGAAUGAUAAAGUGUGGCGCAUGCCACGCUU